Molecule: long non-coding RNA, 273 nt
Filed under: Phoenix dactylifera (date palm)
Lineage: Eukaryota; Viridiplantae; Streptophyta; Magnoliopsida; Arecales; Arecaceae
Description: long non-coding RNA (PDAC_LNC017362)
Source: RNAcentral
GGAUGUCUGUUCCAUUAUAAAGUCUGGUAGGAUUUCAAUUUUUCAUCCAUAAUUAAUAAACGGCGUAAUUUUAUCGAUGAUGACGAGGAGGAGGACAUGGUCUUGUAUUCGAGUGCUCGUGCAUCUCCGAUGAAGCACUCAUCCCCUGCUAUAUGCUGAGCUAGAGAUCGCAGGAGGUCAUGCAUCCUGCAACCUGAUUGAUCAUACCAAUGAGGAACCGGCUGUAGGAGGUUCCUUUGUACCAACUCCUUCCAAUAUCCUUCUGCCACAUCU